RNAcentral lists this ribosomal RNA (484 nucleotides) under uncultured bacterium. Its description in RNAcentral is "partial 16S ribosomal RNA". It matches the Rfam family "Bacterial small subunit ribosomal RNA", at positions 29 to 507 of the family's 1533-position model. The record is from RNAcentral.
AUUGAACGCUGGCGGCAGGCCUAACACAUGCAAGUCGAACGGCAGCACGGAAAUAGCUCUUGCGUACAGUGGCGGACGGGUGAGUAAUGCAUCGGAACGUGCCAAGUAGUGGGGGAUAGCGUGGUGAAAGGGGGAAUAAUACCGCAUAAGCCCUGAGGGUGAACGGGGGGGAGCGGCGGACCUCGCGCUAUUGGAGGAGCCGAUGUCGGAUUAGCUAGUUGGUGGGGUAAAGGCCUACCAAGGCGACGAUCCGUAGCUGGUCUGAGAGGAUGACCAGCCACACUGGAACUGAGACACGGUCCAGACUCCUACGGGAGGCAGCAGUGGGGAAUAUUGGACAAUGGGCGCAAGCCUGAUCCAGCCAUGCCGCGUGUGUGAAGAAGGCCUUCGGGUUGUAAAGCGCUUUUGUUCGGGAAGAAAAGCAGUAGGUUAAUACCCCGCUGUUCUGACGGUACCCAAAGAAUAAGCACCGGCUAACUUCGUG